CCGUCUACUAUCUGGAAUGUCUCAAGCGAGUUGCUUGUUUUCUCUGAAAAAAAAACAUGAAAGUGAAGGAAUGAGAAUUUUACAAUUCUCAGUGAUAUCCAUAUCCACUCUAAAAACUAACAUAAAUUAAAUAGUUAUAUGGAUGAUAAACAUUUCAAAAAUAGAUACUAGUUUCAUCAAUGAAAAUCACACAUUUAAUCCUCUUUAAAACUAAAGAUCAUUCUUUGUUUCAUUGUUAUCACUUUCUUGGCCUUUUCGACCACUUUUGCAUAUUCUCAACUGCGGCUUAGAGCUCUAUCCGAAUGCAAGGGCGUCCCCCUGCCUAGGAACCUGUGUUCCAGGAACUAUGCAACUAGAUCACCUCAACUGCUAGAGGAUCAUUUCGCUUAAAGUGUUUUAAUUAAACAUUUCAUACUUAUGUCUUAGCACCCAGGAUUUGCCUUUUAACUGGAACUGACAUUUGAGUAUCCAGGUUUGCCCUGCAGUGUUGUUCUUAAAUAACAUUCGGGAUUUGCCUAUACUGGUCAUCUUGAGGUCACCAGGUUUGCCCCGCAAUGUUACAUGAUCUCUUAAAUGGUAUCAUAUAAGUUAAACUGAGAUUGUACAAAGUUUAAAAUACUAAAUGAAACUAAAACGACAUAAAAGUUGUCUAUGACGAUUUUCAUUUCAGGUAAAACAACUAAAUAGUAAUAAACUGAACUUUUAAGUAAUCAGAGAGAGGUGGCAGAGCCGACCAUUUCAAGACAUAAAAUGUAAUAACAAAUUAUAUUAUCUAACAAAGUUAAAUAAAAAUCAAUAUCAUAAACAUAAACUUAAUAUUAUAAGAGAAUAAAUAGAUCAAAAGAGUAGUUAUAAAGUAGACAACGUUAAAUAAAAUUGAUGUGGAUAAAAGAGAGUAUGUGUAAUCAUAAAAUUAAAGUUGAAAUACAUAAUUAAAACUGGCUAGACAUACUUAUAAAAUUAUAGAGUAGAUUUAAUUAAAAGAAGUAGAUAUAGUUAUCACCUUACUAAUUUAUCUUGCCCAUUCUUUCAUCUUCCCUCCUCCUAGCAUUUUUUUUUUUUUGACUUUCUGUUCCCUUUAUCUUGCAACCUACAUACUAUCUCUUCCUCUCUCAAAGUGUUAAUGAUCUCUUUCAUUCUUUCUCUGUUUCGCGCUCCCUCUCUUAUUUUCUCUAGCAAAUUCAUUCCUCA
Molecule: long non-coding RNA, 1191 nt
Filed under: Lotus japonicus
Lineage: Eukaryota; Viridiplantae; Streptophyta; Magnoliopsida; Fabales; Fabaceae
Description: long non-coding RNA (LJAP_LNC000410)
Source: RNAcentral